Molecule: ribosomal RNA, 305 nt
Filed under: uncultured bacterium
Lineage: Bacteria
Description: bacterial SSU rRNA
Rfam family: Bacterial small subunit ribosomal RNA
Source: RNAcentral
UCCUACGGGAGGCAGCAGUAGGGAAUCCUCCACAAUGGGCGAAAGCCUGAUGGAGCAACGCCGCGUGGGUGACGCCGGUCUUCGGCUCGUCCCCCCCUGUUGUUCGCGCCGCACGUGCGCGAGAGUAACUGUUCACGUUUCGACGGUAUCUAACCAGAAAGCCACGGCUAACUACGUGCCAGCAGCCGCGGUAAUACGUAGGUGGCAAGCGUUAUCCGGAUUUAUUGGGCGUAAAGGCAACGCAGGCGGUCUUUUAAGUCUGAUGUGAAAGCCUUCGGCUUAACCGGAGUGGUGCAUUGGAAACU